This is a long non-coding RNA of Prosopis cineraria, 364 nucleotides long. RefSeq lists it as uncharacterized. The transcript has 3 exons. NCBI's taxonomy places the organism in Eukaryota, Viridiplantae, Streptophyta, Magnoliopsida, Fabales, Fabaceae. The record is from RefSeq and is a predicted model, not a curated record.
UAGAGGAAAUUGCAACUUUUGGCCCAAAGGUUUGAAUAAUUAAAUUCGAACCUAUAGUUUUUUUUAAUAUAAUUUUGGGACUCACAAUCCCAUUUUUAUAUUAUUUUUCUCUCUUCCUCUCACGUUGCUCGGCGUUUUCUCGUAAGGGGAGAUUAUUUUCUUUUUCUUCAGAUUAUAUUGACAAAGAUAGUGGUGAAAAAGGAGUUGUGAAGGGGAACUUGUUAUUCAAGACACAAGGAGCGAGUCCGGCCGAGAAAGCACCAGAGGUGUAAUUAUGGUGUAUGAGACACCAUCUUUUACGUUGCCUCUUAUUUUGGAUUAUACAAUGUAUCUUGUGCCAACUUAGGACAUAUCUUCUUUGUGG